Molecule: small nucleolar RNA, 164 nt
Organism: Nomascus leucogenys (northern white-cheeked gibbon)
Lineage: Eukaryota; Metazoa; Chordata; Mammalia; Primates; Hylobatidae
Source: Ensembl
UACUCCCAGCCUGGAUGACAGAGCCAGACUCUGUCUCGAAAAAAAAAAAAAAAAAAAGCUUGAUGGUGCCCAUCUCAUAUCAGCCAGGAACAAAGCGACUCCCUGUUUAUCCCAGCUUGGCUUCUGGUCUAUGCCCAUGCCUGGUUUAUGCUUUGGAUACAUAG